Molecule: unclassified non-coding RNA, 346 nt
Filed under: soil metagenome
Description: partial contains 5.8S ribosomal RNA, internal transcribed spacer 2, and large subunit ribosomal RNA
Rfam family: 5.8S ribosomal RNA (bases 1-121)
Source: RNAcentral
GAUGAAGAACGUAGCGAAAUGCGAUAAGUAAUGCGAAUUGCAGAAUUUCCGUGAGUCAUCGAAUCUUUGAACGCACAUUGCGCCCACUGGAAUUCCGGUGGGCAUGCCUGUUCGAGCGUCAUUGCUGCCCUCAAGCACGGCUUGUGUGUUGGGCCUCCGUCCUCCUCCCGGGGGACGGGCCCGGAAGGCAGCGGCGGCACCGCGUCCGGUCCUCGAGCGUAUGGGGCUUCGUCACCCGCUCUUGUAGGCCCGGCCGGCGCUUGCCGACACAUCAAUCUUUUUUCCAGGUUGACCUCGGAUCAGGUAGGGAUACCCGCUGAACUUAAGCAUAUCAAUAAGCGGAGGA